Molecule: microRNA precursor, 84 nt
Filed under: Pan troglodytes (chimpanzee)
Lineage: Eukaryota; Metazoa; Chordata; Mammalia; Primates; Hominidae
Description: miRNA (ENSPTRG00000034906.2)
Source: RNAcentral
AGGUAUUAGGUUGGUGCAAAAGUAAUUGCCGUUUUUGCCACUUUCAAUGGCAAAAACUGCAAUUACUCUUGCACCAACCUAAUA